UUAAGCGACUAAGCGUACACGGUGGAUGCCCUGGCAGUCAGAGGCGAUGAAGGACGUGCUAAUCUGCGAAAAGCGUCGGUAAGGUGAUAUGAACCGUUACAGCCGGCGAUGUCCGAAUGGGGAAACCCAGUGCAAUUCGUUGCACUAUCGUUAACUGAAUACAUAGGUUAACGAGGCGAACCGGGGGAACUGAAACAUCUAAGUACCCCGAGGAAAAGAAAUCAACCGAGAUUCCCCCAGUAGCGGCGAGCGAACGGGGAGCAGCCCAGAGUCUGAAUCAGCUUGUGUGUUAGUGGAACGGUCUGGAAAGUCCGACGGUACAGGGUGAUAGUCCCGUACACCAAAAUGCACAGGCUGUGAACUCGAAGAGUAGGGCGGGACACGUGGUAUCCUGUCUGAAUAUGGGGGGACCAUCCUCCAAGGCUAAAUACUCCUGACUGACCGAUAGUGAACCAGUACCGUGAGGGAAAGGCGAAAAGAACCCCGGCGAGGGGAGUGAAAAAGAACCUGAAACCGUGUACGUACAAGCAGUGGGAGCACCUUCGGGUGUGACUGCGUACCUUUUGUAUAAUGGGUCAGCGACUUAUAUUCUGUAGCAAGGUUAACCGUAUAGGGGAGCCGCAGGGAAACCGAGUCUUAACUGGGCGUUAAGUUGCAGGGUAUAGACCCGAAACCCGGUGAUCUAGCCAUGGGCAGGUUGAAGGUUGGGUAACACUAACUGGAGGACCGAACCGACUAAUGUUGAAAAAUUAGCGGAUGACUUGUGGCUGGGGGUGAAAGGCCAAUCAAACCGGGAGAUAGCUGGUUCUCCCCGAAAGCUAUUUAGGUAGCGCCUCGUGAACUCAUCUUCGGGGGUAGAGCACUGUUUCGGCUAGGGGGUCAUCCCGACUUACCAACCCGAUGCAAACUACGAAUACCGAAGAAUGUUAUCACGGGAGACACACGGCGGGUGCUAACGUCCGUCGUGAAGAGGGAAACAACCCAGACCGCCAGCUAAGGUCCCAAAGUCAUGGUUAAGUGGGAAACGAUGUGGGAAGGCACAGACAGCCAGGAUGUUGGCUUAGAAGCAGCCAUCAUUUAAAGAAAGCGUAAUAGCUCACUGGUCGAGUCGGCCUGCGCGGAAGAUGUAACGGGGCUAAACCAUGCACCGAAGCUGCGGCAGCGACACUAUGUGUUGUUGGGUAGGGGAGCGUUCUGUAAGCCUGCGAAGGUGUGCUGUGAGGCAUGCUGGAGGUAUCAGAAGUGCGAAUGCUGACAUAAGUAACGAUAAAGCGGGUGAAAAGCCCGCUCGCCGGAAGACCAAGGGUUCCUGUCCAACGUUAAUCGGGGCAGGGUGAGUCGACCCCUAAGGCGAGGCCGAAAGGCGUAGUCGAUGGGAAACAGGUUAAUAUUCCUGUACUUGGUGUUACUGCGAAGGGGGGACGGAGAAGGCUAUGUUAGCCGGGCGACGGUUGUCCCGGUUUAAGCAUGUAGGCUGGUUAUCCAGGCAAAUCCGGAUAAUCAAGGCUGAGGUGUGAUGACGAGGCACUACGGUGCUGAAGUAACAAAUGCCCUGCUUCCAGGAAAAGCCUCUAAGCAUCAGGUAACAUCAAAUCGUACCCCAAACCGACACAGGUGGUCAGGUAGAGAAUACCAAGGCGCUUGAGAGAACUCGGGUGAAGGAACUAGGCAAAAUGGUGCCGUAACUUCGGGAGAAGGCACGCUGGUGUGUAGGUGAAGCCCCUGCGGGUGGAGCUGAGACCAGUCGAAGAUACCAGCUGGCUGCAACUGUUUAUUAAAAACACAGCACUGUGCAAACACGAAAGUGGACGUAUACGGUGUGACGCCUGCCCGGUGCCGGAAGGUUAAUUGAUGGGGUUAUCCGUAAGGAGAAGCUCUUGAUCGAAGCCCCGGUAAACGGCGGCCGUAACUAUAACGGUCCUAAGGUAGCGAAAUUCCUUGUCGGGUAAGUUCCGACCUGCACGAAUGGCGUAAUGAUGGCCAGGCUGUCUCCACCCGAGACUCAGUGAAAUUGAACUCGCUGUGAAGAUGCAGUGUACCCGCGGCAAGACGGAAAGACCCCGUGAACCUUUACUAUAGCUUGACACUGAACAUUGAGCCUUGAUGUGUAGGAUAGGUGGGAGGCUUUGAAGCGUGGACGCCAGUCUGCGUGGAGCCAACCUUGAAAUACCACCCUUUAAUGUUUGAUGUUCUAACGUUGGCCCCUGACCGGGGUUGCGGACAGUGUCUGGUGGGUAGUUUGACUGGGGCGGUCUCCUCCCAAAGCGUAACGGAGGAGCACGAAGGUUAGCUAAUCCUGGUCGGACAUCAGGAGGUUAGUGCAAUGGCAUAAGCUAGCUUGACUGCGAGCGUGACGGCGCGAGCAGGUGCGAAAGCAGGUCAUAGUGAUCCGGUGGUUCUGAAUGGAAGGGCCAUCGCUCAACGGAUAAAAGGUACUCCGGGGAUAACAGGCUGAUACCGCCCAAGAGUUCAUAUCGACGGCGGUGUUUGGCACCUCGAUGUCGGCUCAUCACAUCCUGGGGCUGAAGUAGGUCCCAAGGGUAUGGCUGUUCGCCAUUUAAAGUGGUACGCGAGCUGGGUUUAGAACGUCGUGAGACAGUUCGGUCCCUAUCUGCCGUGGGCGCUGGAGAAUUGAGGGGGGCUGCUCCUAGUACGAGAGGACCGGAGUGGACGCAUCACUGGUGUUCGGGUUGUCAUGCCAAUGGCACUGCCCGGUAGCUAAAUGCGGAAGAGAUAAGUGCUGAAAGCAUCUAAGCACGAAACUUGCCCCGAGAUGAGUUCUCCCUGAGACUUUAAGUCUCCUGAAGGAACGUUAAAGACGAUGACGUUGAUAGGCCGGGUGUGUAAGCGCAGCGAUGCGUUGAGCUAACCGGUACUAAUGAACCGUGAGGCUUAACCUU
This 2900-nucleotide ribosomal RNA is filed under the name Klebsiella pneumoniae. RNAcentral's name for it is "23S ribosomal RNA". It matches the Rfam family "Bacterial large subunit ribosomal RNA". The record is from RNAcentral. Lineage: Bacteria; Pseudomonadati; Pseudomonadota; Gammaproteobacteria; Enterobacterales; Enterobacteriaceae.